UGCAGUCGAACGAGACCUUCGGGUCUAGUGGCGCACGGGUGAGUAACGCGUGGAAACCUACCAUUCUGUACGGAAUAACGAUUGGAAACGAUCGCUAAUACCGUAUACGCCCUGUGGGGGAAAGGUCCGCCGCAGAAUGAGGGGUCCGCGUCCGAUUAGCUUGUUGGUGGGGUAAAAGCCUACCAAGGCGAUGAUCGGUAGCUGGUCUGAGAGGAUGAUCAGCCACACUGGGACUGAGACACGGCCCAGACUCCUACGGGAGGCAGCAGUGGGGAAUAUUGGACAAUGGGGGGCAACCCUGAUCCAGCAAUGCCGCGUGUGUGAAGAAGGCCUUAGGGUUGUAAAGCACUUUCAAUGGUGAAGAUGAUGACGGUAGCCCGUAGAAGAAGCCCCGGCUAACUUCGUGCCAGCAGCCGCGGUAAUACGAAGGGGGCGAGCGUUGUUCGGAAUUACUGGGCGUAAAGGGCGCGCAGGCGGCCAAUCCAGUCAGGUGGUGAAAGCCCCGGGC
Molecule: ribosomal RNA, 508 nt
Filed under: uncultured bacterium
Lineage: Bacteria
Description: bacterial SSU rRNA
Rfam family: Bacterial small subunit ribosomal RNA
Source: RNAcentral